AUGUUGAAGGCACAGCCGGCGUGCGGCCCGGUGCCAUCUGCACCGCCAGGACAAUGUCAAAGUUGUCGGCCCACAGCCAGGCUCCAUAUCCAACAUGUUGGCAUACAACCCCCGUGCCAUGUCCACCUCCAUGGCUUUGUCACCGGGGCCGCCGGCGUGCAGCCCGACGUCCUCACCAUCUACCUCAACAGUGCAACCGAUGAGCGGGCGAUGGAACCUCCACGGAGACGGCGGCGGGAACGAUCGGAGCUCGCCUGUGUAUGGUUGGCUGCUAGCUCUGCCCUCACACUACCUCGCCAAUUAUGA
Molecule: ribosomal RNA, 306 nt
Filed under: Triticum aestivum (bread wheat)
Lineage: Eukaryota; Viridiplantae; Streptophyta; Magnoliopsida; Poales; Poaceae
Description: partial small subunit ribosomal RNA
Source: RNAcentral